Molecule: ribosomal RNA, 629 nt
Filed under: Bacillus sp. (in: firmicutes)
Lineage: Bacteria; Bacillati; Bacillota; Bacilli; Caryophanales; Bacillaceae
Description: bacterial SSU rRNA
Rfam family: Bacterial small subunit ribosomal RNA
Source: RNAcentral
AUACAUGCAGUCGAGCGGACAGAUGGGAGCUUGCUCCCUGAUGUUAGCGGCGGACGGGUGAGUAACACGUGGGUAACCUGCCUGUAAGACUGGGAUAACUCCGGGAAACCGGGGCUAAUACCGGAUGCUUGAUUGAACCGCAUGGUUCAAUUAUAAAAGGUGGCUUUUAGCUACCACUUACAGAUGGACCCGCGGCGCAUUAGCUAGUUGGUGAGGUAACGGCUCACCAAGGCAACGAUGCGUAGCCGACCUGAGAGGGUGAUCGGCCACACUGGGACUGAGACACGGCCCAGACUCCUACGGGAGGCAGCAGUAGGGAAUCUUCCGCAAUGGACGAAAGUCUGACGGAGCAACGCCGCGUGAGUGAUGAAGGUUUUCGGAUCGUAAAACUCUGUUGUUAGGGAAGAACAAGUACCGUUCGAAUAGGGCGGUACCUUGACGGUACCUAACCAGAAAGCCACGGCUAACUACGUGCCAGCAGCCGCGGUAAUACGUAGGUGGCAAGCGUUGUCCGGAAUUAUUGGGCGUAAAGCGCGCGCAGGCGGUUUCUUAAGUCUGAUGUGAAAGCCCCCGGCUCAACCGGGGAGGGUCAUUGGAAACUGGGGAACUUGAGUGCAGAAGAGGAGAGU